Long non-coding RNA from Aedes albopictus (Asian tiger mosquito), 748 nucleotides. RefSeq lists it as uncharacterized. The transcript is spliced from 2 exons. The record is from RefSeq and is a predicted model, not a curated record. Lineage: Eukaryota; Metazoa; Arthropoda; Insecta; Diptera; Culicidae.
CUUUGCUCAGUUUAAAAAGUAUACUUGGGACUAUUAAAAAGAUAUACUGCGGAAAAAUAACAUGAGAUUAUUUUACGCAAUGUAUUCAAUAAAACAACAAAAUUUAAACAUGUCGGAUCACCAACGGCCAAGAGGAAUUUCACAACAAUAAAAAGUCCUGGAGGUUCUUGACGCCGAUUCCAUAACCGGCAAUCCUGCUUUCACUAUCACCUACUUUGCAGUUCGUUGUAAAAACAGGCACUUCCGUGGGUACCCGGACAGGGCAACAAGCACAACGAUUCUCCAUAAGACACCCCAGUCACGAAUAUCGGCGGAAAUGCGACCACGGAUAAAGUGAGCAAAUGGAAACCUGAAUGGCACCGGCAUCGAGAUGCUGGUUUUCGCAGAAACGUUAAUGUACGUGGCCACGUUUUCCGUGCUGCCGAAAUUUGACGCAUAAUACCGGGCACGGAAGCCAUCGUUUACAAUAUUCCGCUUCCGGCAGCUAAAAGUGGUCAUUCACGGCGGUGGAAGUGGCCCGAAGAACACCAAACUGGCUCUGCUUAUCCUGGGAGACCUGAAGCCGGUGUUCCUGACGAUUGGUGGUAACAACUAGAGAGUGCUGGUGAGAGCAACCAAAAUUUUGCUCAGUACUGUUCAGUCCCGGUUUGGUUUUGUAGACGAGAAUGGAACGGAGCAACAUAUAUAUAUAACUUUGUAUUAUCUAGAGAGUUAUUUAGCUAAUAAAUAUAUUUCGUCGUUUGUAAUA